Molecule: transfer RNA, 72 nt
Filed under: Candidatus Blochmanniella floridana
Lineage: Bacteria; Pseudomonadati; Pseudomonadota; Gammaproteobacteria; Enterobacterales; Enterobacteriaceae
Description: tRNA-Thr (TGT) (tRNA-Thr-TGT-1-1)
Rfam family: tRNA
About the family: Transfer RNA (tRNA) molecules are approximately 80 nucleotides in length. Their secondary structure includes four short double-helical elements and three loops (D, anti-codon, and T loops). Further hydrogen bonds mediate the characteristic L-shaped molecular structure. tRNAs have two regions of fundamental functional importance: the anti-codon, which is responsible for specific mRNA codon recognition, and the 3' end, to which the tRNAs corresponding amino acid is attached (by aminoacyl-tRNA synthetases). tRNAs cope with the degeneracy of the genetic code in two manners: having more than one tRNA (with a specific anti-codon) for a particular amino acid; and 'wobble' base-pairing, i.e. permitting non-standard base-pairing at the 3rd anti-codon position.
Source: RNAcentral
GCCGGUGUAGCUCAAUGGUAGAGCAACUGAUUUGUAAUCAGUGGGUUAAGGGUUCAAAUCCUUUUGCCGGCA